AUGACAUUGAAGGAGCUGAUUCAAGCUGAAGGCAGAGAGCUUAACUAGAUGAUAAUUUUGUCCAGCUGACAUUCUCUACCAUUCAGUUUUCUGUGUGAGUAAACUCCAGUGCAGAAAAAACAACCAGGCAGUGUCUGAAAGAAUUUGAAUUAACUCUGGCUUAGGAAAGCAAAGCAAAAAGUUUGCCACCCUGUGAAUGAGCAUUGUUUGAUGGGAUGCACCCAGUGCUGAAUAUGACCUCAAAAGAAGAGUGGUCUAAUCUGUUAAGCUGAUGUAUCAUCUUGGACUCAUGAUAGCUGAAAACCUGCACAAUACUUCACCACAUAAUGUAUUCAUACCCUAUAGUGAUUGUGAAGUUAGAGUUGGACACAAGAUCGCAAGAAAGCAAAAGGUUCAUGUGGUUGCCAACAGGGAAACUGGGAGCAAGAGGAUUAAGGGAUACUGCAGCAGAAACCUUUCCUGAGAUCUACCUUCCUUGGCCUCAUCUGAAAUAUUUUUCCUGUUAUGCCAUUUUGCUUUGAAAAAUAAAAAGCACUGUAGCUUGAAUCAAAGAAAGUCUCUGGUGGAAAGGAAUGACAUUGGGGCUGGAUGCUUUUCUUUCACCACUCUGAGAUCAUUUGCCACACCCACCUGGGAUCAUUGCUGCUGAGUGUCUGAACAACUGGGCUCCUGCAGGAGCUGCUUGACUCACUGCAGGGCAGGCAGUGGGUGGCAGAUGAAUGCAGCUGUGGGUGCAGCACACACACCUGGCCUUGGACUGAGAUUCUACCAGAUAUCAGGAGAGAGAGAAACAGAAUUUAAAGGCUGCUGCUAGGCAAGGGGAUCUGCAUUGGGAAGCAAUCUGUGCUAGAGGGAAGAAUCAACCCUCCAGGCUGUAUUUCUCUCACAGCCAUUUUUCUUAUGUUUCUCUGUGUUCUUUUUGAUUGGUUUUGUGUUUCGUUGUUUUUUUUAACAUGGAGAAGUGAAAGGCUGAAUUUUGUAGUAUUUGGAAGACAGGAUAUGUAUCCUGGAAUGAAAGUGAAAGGUAGCACUCUCUAUUGUAGUUAAAGGGACAUGAAAUGUAGUAACCCACUGUCAUUUAAAGGAUACCACUAAGUACCCAUGGACACUUGCUACUUUCCAGGUUAAACUCCACUGCUAGUAUUUCUUACUUCUUUCUGUGAUCACUCAUAAUAAAUAAAAAAUGGGGGGAAGAAAAAAAGUUUCC
RNAcentral lists this long non-coding RNA (1207 nucleotides) under Zonotrichia albicollis (white-throated sparrow). Its description in RNAcentral is "lncRNA (ENSZALG00000014522.1)". The record is from RNAcentral. Lineage: Eukaryota; Metazoa; Chordata; Aves; Passeriformes; Passerellidae.